This 127-nucleotide small RNA is filed under the name Arabidopsis thaliana (thale cress). Its description in RNAcentral is "ATSL176370". Lineage: Eukaryota; Viridiplantae; Streptophyta; Magnoliopsida; Brassicales; Brassicaceae. The record is from RNAcentral.
UCCCAAUUUAAAUCUCACUAACUAGAUCAUAACCCGUGCUAUACAGCACGGGCAUUAAUAUUUUGUAUAAAUUAAAUUGUAUACUUUAUUUGAAUUACAUAAGAAAUAGUAUAAUAUAAAAGUGAUA